This 441-nucleotide ribosomal RNA is filed under the name Escherichia coli. RNAcentral's name for it is "bacterial SSU rRNA". It matches the Rfam family "Bacterial small subunit ribosomal RNA", at positions 1 to 438 of the family's 1533-position model. Lineage: Bacteria; Pseudomonadati; Pseudomonadota; Gammaproteobacteria; Enterobacterales; Enterobacteriaceae. The record is from RNAcentral.
AAAUUGAAGAGUUUGAUCAUGGCUCAGAUUGAACGCUGGCGGCAGGCCUAACACAUGCAAGUCGAACGGUAACAGGAAGAAGCUUGCUUCUUUGCUGACGAGUGGCGGACGGGUGAGUAAUGUCUGGGAAACUGCCUGAUGGAGGGGGAUAACUACUGGAAACGGUAGCUAAUACCGCAUAACGUCGCAAGACCAAAGAGGGGGACCUUCGGGCCUCUUGCCAUCGGAUGUGCCCAGAUGGGAUUAGCUAGUAGGUGGGGUAACGGCUCACCUAGGCGACGAUCCCUAGCUGGUCUGAGAGGAUGACCAGCCACACUGGAACUGAGACACGGUCCAGACUCCUACGGGAGGCAGCAGUGGGGAAUAUUGCACAAUGGGCGCAAGCCUGAUGCAGCCAUGCCGCGUGUAUGAAGAAGGCCUUCGGGUUGUAAAGUACUUUCA